This is an unclassified non-coding RNA of Ursus americanus (American black bear), 126 nucleotides long. The record is from Ensembl. NCBI's taxonomy places the organism in Eukaryota, Metazoa, Chordata, Mammalia, Carnivora, Ursidae.
CUUCUAGCUCGGCAGGGCACAGGAUCCCUGGGGCCUCAACUCCUUAUCCGUCUGGGACUGCUCCUCUGCAUCGGGGCAGUGAGCCCUGUCUCUCCUCAGGGUCCUGGCUCUCUACCUCCAGGCCCU